This 586-nucleotide ribosomal RNA is filed under the name Rhizomucor pusillus. Its description in RNAcentral is "partial large subunit ribosomal RNA". It matches the Rfam family "Eukaryotic large subunit ribosomal RNA", at positions 24 to 605 of the family's 3401-position model. The record is from RNAcentral. Lineage: Eukaryota; Fungi; Mucoromycota; Mucoromycetes; Mucorales; Lichtheimiaceae.
UUACCGCGGCUGAACUUUAAGCAUAUCUAUAAGCGGAGGAAAAGAAAAUAACAAUGAUACCCUUAGUAGCGGCGAGCGAAGUGGGUAAAGCUCAAGUUUAAAACCUUGUUUGUCCUAGACAAACCGGAUUGUAAACUAAGGACGUGCUAUCCAGGCUCUUUGGACCUUCAAGUCCUUUGGAAUAAGGCUUCACAGAGGGUGACAAUCCCGUAGAGGGUCUUGAAAGAGUCUAUUGCGAUGCAUGCUCCAAGAGUCAGGUUGUUUGGGAAUGCAGCCUAAAGUGGGAGGUAAAUCCCUCCUAAAGCUAAAUAUUGGCGAGAGACCGAUAGCAAACAAGUACCGUGAGGGAAAGUUGAAAAGGACUUUGAAAAGAGAGUCAAAAGUACGUGAAAUUGCUUAAAGGGAAGCGUUUGGAGCUAGUUUGGCUAGUCUGUUAUCAGCCUGAGCUUCGGCUUUGGUGUACUAUCAGGCUAUUUGCCGGCCAACUUUCAGGAUUGGAAGGAAAGCUUAGUGCUUUGGAGUCUAAAGAGACCUUUGCGGAAGCCUCUGGUGGAGCGUUGGUCAUGCCUUGGCCCUUCUGAACCUA